GAACUGAAGAGUUUGAUCAUGGCUCAGAUUGAACGCUGGCGGCAGGCCUAACACAUGCAAGUCGAGCGGAUGAAGGGAGCUUGCUCCUGGAUUCAGCGGCGGACGGGUGAGUAAUGCCUAGGAAUCUGCCUGGUAGUGGGGGAUAACGUCCGGAAACGGGCGCUAAUACCGCAUACGUCCUGAGGGAGAAAGUGGGGGAUCUUCGGACCUCACGCUAUCAGAUGAGCCUAGGUCGGAUUAGCUAGUUGGUGGGGUAAAGGCCUACCAAGGCGACGAUCCGUAACUGGUCUGAGAGGAUGAUCAGUCACACUGGAACUGAGACACGGUCCAGACUCCUACGGGAGGCAGCAGUGGGGAAUAUUGGACAAUGGGCGAAAGCCUGAUCCAGCCAUGC
This 394-nucleotide ribosomal RNA is filed under the name Pseudomonas aeruginosa. Its description in RNAcentral is "bacterial SSU rRNA". It matches the Rfam family "Bacterial small subunit ribosomal RNA", at positions 1 to 397 of the family's 1533-position model. Lineage: Bacteria; Pseudomonadati; Pseudomonadota; Gammaproteobacteria; Pseudomonadales; Pseudomonadaceae. The record is from RNAcentral.